This 468-nucleotide ribosomal RNA is filed under the name uncultured bacterium. Its description in RNAcentral is "partial 16S ribosomal RNA". It matches the Rfam family "Bacterial small subunit ribosomal RNA", at positions 28 to 507 of the family's 1533-position model. The record is from RNAcentral.
GACGAACGCUGGCGGCGUGCUUAACACAUGCCAGUCGAACGGAAAGGCCCUGCCUUUGUGGGGUGCUCGAGUGGCGAACGGGUGAGUAACACGUGAGUAACCUGCCCUUGACUUUGGGAUAACUUCAGGAAACUGGGGCUAACACCGGAUAGGAGCUCCUGCUGCAUGGUGGGGGUUGGAAAGUUUCGGCGGUUGGGGAUGGACUCGCGGCUUAUCAGCUUGUUGGUGGGGUAGUGGCUUACCAAGGCUUUGACGGGUAGCCGGCCUGAGAGGGUGACCGGCCACAUUGGGACUGAGAUACGGCCCAGACUCCUACGGGAGGCAGCAGUGGGGAAUAUUGCACAAUGGGCGGAAGCCUGAUGCAGCAACGCCGCGUGCGGGAUGACGGCCUUCGGGUUGUAAACCGCUUUCGCCUGUGACGAAGCGUGAGUGACGGUAAUGGGUAAAGAAGCACCGGCUAACUACGUG